UACGUAGGUGGCAAGCGUUGUCCGAAAUUAUUGGGCGUAAAGCGCGCGCAGGCGGUCCUUUAAGUCUGAUGUGAAAUCCCCCGGCUUAACCUGGGAACUGCGUCUGAUACUGGGAGGCUAGAGUAUGGGAGAGGGAUGUAGAAUUCCAGGUGUAGCGGUGAAAUGCGUAGAUAUCUGGAGGAAUACCGGUGGCGAAGGCGGCAUCCUGGACCAUUACUGACGCUGAGGCGCGAAAGCUAGGGGAGCAAACGGG
Molecule: ribosomal RNA, 253 nt
Filed under: uncultured bacterium
Lineage: Bacteria
Description: partial 16S ribosomal RNA
Rfam family: Bacterial small subunit ribosomal RNA
Source: RNAcentral